Salmo salar (Atlantic salmon) is the source of this 54-nucleotide non-coding RNA. The record is from Rfam. NCBI's taxonomy places the organism in Eukaryota, Metazoa, Chordata, Actinopteri, Salmoniformes, Salmonidae.
UGUAUUCACUACUGUAAGUUGCUCUGGAUAAGAGUGUCUGCUAAAUGACUGUGA